GUGGGGAAUCUUGCGCAAUGGGCGAAAGCCUGACGCAGCCAUGCCGCGUGGAUGAUGAAGGUCUUAGGAUUGUAAAAUCCUUUCACCGGUGAAGAUAAUGACUGUAGCCGGAGAAGAAGCACCGGCUAACUUCGUGCCAGCAGCCGCGGUAAUACGAAGGGGGCUAGCGUUGCUCGGAUUUACUGGGCGUAAGGGGCGCGUAGGCGGACAUUUAAGUCAGGGGGGAAAUCACGGGGCUCAACCUCGGAACUGCCUUUGAUACUGGGUGUCUUGAGUAUGAGAGAGGUGUGUGGAACUCCGAGUGUAGAGGUGAAAUUCGUAGAUAUUCGGAAGAACACCAGUGGCGAAGGCGACACACUGGCUCAUUACUGACGCUGAGGCGCGAAAGCGUGGGGAGCAAACAGGAUUAGAAACCCGUGUAGUCC
Molecule: ribosomal RNA, 425 nt
Filed under: uncultured bacterium
Lineage: Bacteria
Description: partial 16S ribosomal RNA
Rfam family: Bacterial small subunit ribosomal RNA
Source: RNAcentral